Molecule: ribosomal RNA, 95 nt
Filed under: Prolemur simus (greater bamboo lemur)
Lineage: Eukaryota; Metazoa; Chordata; Mammalia; Primates; Lemuridae
Source: RNAcentral
AGUGUAUACCAUACCACCCUGGACAUGCCUGAUCUUGCCUGAUCUCGGGAGCUAAGCAGGGUCAGGCCUGGUUAGUACUCGGACAGGAGACAUUU